RNAcentral lists this unclassified non-coding RNA (585 nucleotides) under Hevea brasiliensis (rubber tree). The record is from RNAcentral. Lineage: Eukaryota; Viridiplantae; Streptophyta; Magnoliopsida; Malpighiales; Euphorbiaceae.
GUGUGUGUGUGUGUGUGUGUGCAGCAUACAAUAAAAUCCAACAAACCAAAAUGUUAAUCAUCGUUACACACAGGCAUAUAAAAGCAACAAAAGUAAAAUAGCAUAUUUAACAACACAAACAAUAUGAAUUAUUCAGAUGGAAAAAUUAAGAAGCCACUGAAUCUACAAGCAUGCUUUAAAUCAGGAUCAUUUGUAAAAGGAUCUUCAAACUUCAACUGAACUAAAUGACCAGAUCAAUGAAAUAUUAAAGUAUUACACAAGAAGUUCUUUACUAGUAAGAGGCACCAAGGAACAACAGACAUUUGACCUAUGAAAUCUAACCUUUCACUCACAUCACCACAUUUAUUUAGAAGCACAAAGUCCAUUAGAAUAGUUAGCAUGAUUCAUUGGGAACAUGAAAACAAUGCAGAUUGAUGUAUGAGAUUCUUAUGAGAUUUCAUAUUUUUGACUCACAUGAUUCUCGACUUAGAUUUCGGAACUUUAUGAGAUUCUUUAAUCAACUGUAAAGAGAAAACCAUGCAGAUUGAUAUAUUGUUAAUCCUCUUUAACACAUACAGAAAGCCAAGUCAUUAAUACCCUUCUGUU